Molecule: ribosomal RNA, 440 nt
Filed under: uncultured bacterium
Lineage: Bacteria
Description: partial 16S ribosomal RNA
Rfam family: Bacterial small subunit ribosomal RNA
Source: RNAcentral
CCUACGGGAGGCAGCAGUGGGGAAUAUUGCACAAUGGGGGAAACCCUGAUGCAGCAACGCCGCGUGAGUGAAGAAGUAUUUCGGUAUGUAAAGCUCUAUCAGCAGGGAAGAGAAUGACGGUACCUGACUAAGAAGCCCCGGCUAACUACGUGCCAGCAGCCGCGGUAAUACGUAGGGGGCAAGCGUUAUCCGGAUUUACUGGGUGUAAAGGGAGCGUAGACGGCUGGCCAAGUCUGAAGUGAAAGCCCGGGGCUUAACCCCGGAACGGCUUUGGAAACUGGCCGGCUGGAGUGCUGGAGAGGCAGGCGGAAUUCCUGGUGUAGCGGUGAAAUGCUUAGAGAUCAUACAGAACACCGAUUGCGAAGGCAGCUUACCAAGCUACUUCUGACGUUGAGGCACGAAAGCGUGGGGAGCAAACAGGAUUAGAUACCCGUGUAGUC